AGAGCGAACGCUGGCGGCAGGCCUAACACAUGCAAGUCGAGCGCCCGUAGCAAUACGGGAGCGGCAGACGGGAUAGUAACACGUGGGAACGCGCCCUUCGGUUCGGAAUAACUCAGGGAAACUUGAGCUAAUACCGGAUACGCCCUUACGGGGAAAGAUUUAUUGCCGAAGGAACGGCCCGCGUCCGAUUAGCUAGUUGGUGAGGUAAUGGCGCACCAAGGCGACGAUCGGUAGCUGGUCUGAGAGGAUGAUCAGCCACAUUGGGACUGAGACACGGCCCAAACUCCUACGGGAGGCAGCAGUGGGGAAUAUUGGACAAUGGGCGCAAGCCUGAUCCAGCCAUGCCGCGUGAGUGAUGACGGCCUUAGGGUUGUAAAGCUCUUUCGCUCGGGACGAUAAUGACGGUACCGAGAUAAGAAGCCCGGCUAACUUCGCGCCAGCAGCCGC
Molecule: ribosomal RNA, 447 nt
Filed under: uncultured bacterium
Lineage: Bacteria
Description: SSU rRNA
Rfam family: Bacterial small subunit ribosomal RNA
Source: RNAcentral